This 7969-nucleotide long non-coding RNA is filed under the name Homo sapiens (human). Its description in RNAcentral is "non-protein coding GATA6-AS1:17". The record is from RNAcentral. Lineage: Eukaryota; Metazoa; Chordata; Mammalia; Primates; Hominidae.
AGACAAUGAGAGCCGCGCUGCCUGCGGGCGUGGGCUGAGCCGCAAGCCCUGUCCCCGGAGUGGGGGCGAGUCCACCCGGGGGGCACCGAGCCCAGGGACCCCGGGGGAGGGGCGGAGGCCACAGAACGCCUGACCUGGCUAGCGACCCGCACCCAUCCAGCGGCGGUGCACCCUCCCGCUCCCGCAGUCGCACACACACACCCACACGAGGGAGGGGGAGGGAGCCUUGGCACGGGAGGAGUUGGCAGUGCACAGUCCCGCGCCGCCGCCGCGGCGGGAGGGGCGCUCCAGACCUUGGGUCAGCACGCCCCCAGAAGGAAGGGGGAACGUGCUCUGCGCCCCCCCGCCCCCCAACCCCCGCCUAGCCCCUUCACAGCAAAUGCGCUUUUUGCCCUGAAGUUGUGUGAGACCGACCUUAAACUUUCUCCGACCCUAUCUCGGGAUGCUACGGCUCAGGUCGUGGUGGUUUCGGGAACCUCAAGACAACAUUCCCCAGCUGACCUUUGGGAACUUUAACUCGGGUCGUCAUGUACGGAAAGGUAGUCUAUGGGGUACGCAGAAUGGAAAAGGGCUUCCACAUCAGUCGUGUCCGAGGACGCUCUCCAACUUUUGAUGUCCCUGGAGAGUUUCUGAUAUUUCCCUGGAGAGUUUCAGAAAGGAUUUCUUCCGACAGACGUGACCCCAGAAGGCUGCCGAGGGAGACUUUAGGACAAGAGGCGUUGUUUUUUUAGGGAAGGAAGAGGAGCCUGUGCAGAGUUGAACUGGGGUGGAGAGGUGCCUUGUAAAGUAUGGUUUCCAGAGAUGGUGAGACCUCGUAGCUAAGCGUUGUUUCCUCUGCACGUAACUUUUCAGCGUGGCCGCAUUUGGAAAAGGCUGAAGGUAGAAAACUCUGGAAUGGAGAGGCUGGCGACUGGAGCAGGAUCCAGGGGCUUUAAAUUUUAACCUGAAUGCGAUCGAAUGCGCGACUCCCAGAAGAGAUAGCCAGGCGUCCGCCCGGCCGCUCAACCCCCGCCAGGACUCGGAAUGCCUUGCUUUUGGUUCUUUUCUACAAGGAUGUCUGCGUGGAUAUCCCUGGACACUCGAUACCCCCCGGGGACCUGCUUUUCCCGCAGCUCCGCAGACGCGGCGGGAGGGCGCGCUGGCCCCGGCGCUGCUGGGACAGAGGUGAGCAGCGGGGUGGACAUUGACCGAUUCGACAACGUUCGGGCUCUAAGGGCUCGGGAAGGGACCCGGCAUUUUACCCUCCAGAUUCCCAAUCUAUUUUUAAAAAUAAUGUUCAAAACAUAUGGGAAAAAUAAGUGAUUGCUCCUUUUCAUGGUCACAGAUUGUAUUUAUUUUUUCAGACUGGUUUUCCAACCUAACGAGGGAAUGGGUAGUGAAUGUUGUUGUUGUUGUUGUUGUUUAUGUUGGUUAAUUUCGAAAUAAAACUGUUUAACUCGUACAGUUGAUUCAGACAGAAAACCAGGCUGCCUGACGUCUCCAAUGUGCCUUUUCCCCAAUGCAUCUUUGGCGCUAGGGACCGCUCUGGGGAAGACAAGCAUGUUUUCAAAGCCACUCCCAUGAGCCCCAGACCCGCGCGUGGAGCUUCCUGGGCGCGCCCCAGCUGGUCUGGAAGGCCGGCAAAUUAGGAAGUUUGGAGGGAAGAGGUGCACCCCAAACUAGGGAGAAACCCAAGAGCUGGGGAGAAGGCCCCCACUAGUGUCCAAAGUACGCGGACAGCUCUUAAAAGUUAUUGUUUUCUUCGUGGGGAUAUAUAUUUUUUCUUUUCCUUCCUUUCCUUUUUUUUUUUCUUUCACCCUCGCAUGUCUCCUCUUUCGGGAUUUGCUAAUCUUGAACGAAACUGUUCUCUCCGGACUGUUUCGACCCAAUGAGCGGCCCCUCCUGGGCAAGUCGUCCCCCUUACCCUCACAGAGGGCUGGCUCCCGGGCGCGGCCUGUCCCCAGGGUUGAUUUAUUUCGGCCGCGCCACACCACUAUUCGCGAUUCGAAUCCACCCAGAACACUGCAGCCAAUUGGGCAGGGGGCGGGGGCUUGGCUGCCAAACGGGAAGGGUGUUUGGGGACCCAGUCUUGCGCCGCUUCCGGAGGAGCGGCGAGACCCAGCAAGGACCCGCGUCCCCGUGCACCUCCACCCCCGCAAACUCACGCUCAUUUUACGAUCCUGUCACAAAACUGGCUGCUUCGGCGAUGUUUCAUAAGGAAAAAGAAUGCAUUUCUGACUUAAAACAUAUUUUUAACUUAGAUUUUUAACAGCCCAGAUUUAUGAGGCCUUCUCGCUUAUACCAUAUUUCUUCCCGUCUCUGGGACGCUUUUACCCAAGGACCCGGGGUCACCUCAGAGCCCCCCACCCCUGCCAGCGUCUGGGGCCAGUGGUGGGUUCCGGGCGGCGUGUCCCCCACUCAGCGGCCGCACUGCACGGUAGGCCGUCGACCAGAGUCCUGGCGGUGAUUUUCUUUAAGUUUAAAUCUCGGGAAACCAAAAACACUCUUUAGAAACGUCAGGUGGUGGCGGCGGAAACUUGCAGGUCGCCCCCACCCCCAGCGCCGGCUCCCGCCGGCGGCCACUUCGGGGAAGGACCGCGCGGAGCCAGCGCCGGGGUCCCCGGGCGGUCGGAAUCGAGGCCCGGCGCGUUGCGCAGGCCAGGCCCGGCCCGGAGGCCCCUUGCCCGGCGCAGCCCCCGGCCGACCCCCGUGCGCCGCCGGCGGCCGCCAGCACGGCGCGGAGGUGGGCUAGCGGCGGCGGCGCACGAAAGGUCACCGCGGUGGCAUUCCUCUCCGCGCUGUUUACGUGACUUAAUGUACUCGCUGCGCCGCGGCACCCUAUCUUCUAAAAGAAGAUCUAAACCUUCAUAAUGAAAACUUUAAAAAGGAAUUUAUGGGAUGUAACAAAGAAUACUCUUCUCUAGAUAAAAUGACAGGGAAAUAGAUUUGUCUUUCAGAAGGCAAAGUCUGGAGGGAACAUAAAAGUCUUCCCGUCCCUGCAGUUUUUCUGCCCGAUUUGUGCCCAGAGCCUGUUUUUCUCUUGUCUUUGACAGUUCUGAUCUUCUCUACGUUUGAUUUACUGAGUGCUGUCAUUUCUCUGCUCUUUACUUUCACAAUCACACAUUCAAACCUGAUAAAGUUCAAGACCCUGAAUACUUGCAGCUCUCCCAGAUUUACAGCCCUCCUGCCCCCCAGCCCAGCCAGCCGUCCCGAGGCUGAUUGAAUCCUCAUGGACAGAAGCCUUUGGGGGUCAGUGGAGAGCCAGAGGGUCCAAGAGGGCCAGGCCCAGGGGGAACAUCAGCCCCUGUGUCAACUCUGUUAUCCAUAGCAAGCCUGGGUAGGUCCCUUCCCCUUGAAAGCGAUUGUCAACAUCCUCUUGUUUCAGUUCUCACUUCUAGCCUGUAACCUGCCUGUGGGCAAGUACAGGAACUGUAACUCACAAAAUAGAAUUGGUGAGGAUUCAAGAGGCUGAGAUGGAAGUAUCGCUUGAGCCCAGGAGUUCGGGGCAGCAGUGAGCUAUGAUUACACCACUGCACCACUGCACUCCAGCCUGGGCAACAGAGCAAAGCCCACAGUCAAAAAAAAAAAAAAAAAAAAGGCCAGGUGCAGUGGCUCAUGCCUAUAAUCCCAACACUUUGGUAGGCUGAGGCAGGAAGAUCACCUGAGGUCAGGAGUUCGAGUUCGAGACCAGCCUGGCCAACAUGGUGAAACCCUGUCUCUAUAAAAACAGCAAAAAUUAGCCAGGCAUGGUGGCGUGUGCCUUUAGUCCCAGCUAUUCGGGAGGCUGAGGUGGAAGAAUCACUUGAACCCAGGAGGUGGAGGUUGCAGUGAGCCGAGAUCACUGCACUCCAGCCUGGGUGACAGAGUGAGACCUUGUCUCAAUUAAAAAAACAAAACAAAACAAAAAAAAAAACAGAGAGAGAGAAUUGGAUGCAAAAUUGUGGUCAAUGUGCAUGCAUAAGUGCUAGAUUUUCCUGGACUACUAAACAGCCUUGUAAUCAAGGGCAAGACACUUAACCUCUUCGUGUCUCAGUUGCUCCAUACAUAAAAUGGUAAAAAUAUUACUUUCUACAAACAUUAAUCACGAACUAAUGACUUGGGUCCCCUUUCCUGCAUGUACGUCCAUCAGGGCCCCAGAAAGACCACUAGCAUGUGGCUGAUCUGGCUCUUUGGUUUCUGUCAGGUUAAAUACAAACUUACACAUUAAUCUAAAUACUACACCAGUGGGCUAAACAAAAGGGAUGAUCCAUUUCCAAAGGCUGAACAGUUAACUUAGAGUCAAAUUUUCAAACCACUGAAAUGUCUUCUGAUAGAAGAUGCUAUCUAAAUUGUUUAUUCUUUGCCUGCGAAUAUAAGCCCACUCAACCAUAGAACGCUGACCAAAAGCAAUCACUGAGGAUGGACGCCCUUAUUCUCAAUGAUUACUCUAAAGGGACUUCAUACUUACCAAAUAAGCAAUUCUUUUGCAUGAGCUAAUGUUUUCAUUUAUCUUGAACUAUCAGAGUUUUCUGACUAAGGUACACAUUUUAGGUGGCAGCAGUUUAAGUAGGUAUUUUUUUUUAAUCACUAUUCUAAGUCUAUGGACUAAGAAAGGUAUGAUUCCCCUCCCCCCCCUUUAAUGUUCAUGUCCUACAGAGAGCCAAAUUGUCAUAAUACCUAAGGGGAAAAUUGUAUUAACCUAUUAGGGAAGGAAGCAGAGUAGUUGCCUACCUUCUUCAGAAGGGAUUUUUAUUUUUAAUCUAUCCACUCAAGAGACACCCUUUAGAGUAUAUUACAAUGUUGCUUUUUCCUGGCCAUAAUAAUAUUCACCCCUACAGAGGUGGAUAAAGAUAGAAACCUGACUUAAUGGAUAUCAAAUAACUUUUUCUGGCUACUCUUAAGCUAGAUUACUGCUGUUUAUAAUACCACAAAUUAAAGAUAUGCAAUUAUCCAACAAAAAAAGUGUGACUAUUAUACCAUUUUUAAAGAUUGACUACCAGUGCCCAGCAAACUCUAGCCAAAAACCACAGUGUGGAUCCACAAAGCUGUCAACCUUUACAUUUCAGUCAUCUUUCUGUCCAGAGCUCAGCAUGCUUUGGGCAGAAGUGCAAAAGGCUAGGUGCAUGGGGAAAAGUCUAUCCAGUGUAACUGCUGCAGCAGCUGGCUGCACCUCUGCACCUGGAGCUAGAUUAAGCACCAGUUAUGGAGGCAUGGGUUCAAAUCCCAGAUAUGCAUCUUGCUGUUUCUCUUUAGUUGUGUGAUCUUGGGCAUGUUCCUUAAUAUCUCUACUCCUGGUCAGGCACGGUGGCUCACGCCUGUAAUGCCAGCACUUUCGGAGGCCAAGGCAGGUGGAUCACCUGAGGUCAGGAGUUCGAGACCUCUGUGGCCAACAUGGUGAAACCCCGUCUGUACUAAAAAUUCAAAAAUUAGCCGGAGGAGGCUAAUUCUUAUCUCUCAGGAGGCUGAGACAUAAGAAUCACUUGAACCCGGGAGGUGGAGGUUGCAGUGAGCUGAGAUUGCGCCACUGCACUCCAGCCUGGGCAACAGAGCAAGACCCUUCUCAAAAAAAAUAUAUAUAUAUGAUUUUCAUGAAGAUUAAAUGAAUUAAUAUUUAUAAAAUGCUUAGAAGAGUGUUUGGCUCACCAUACAGGGUUUUUGAGAUGUUUGAUAAAUAAGCAAAAACACAAACUUCUAUUUCAGGCCACUUUUUAAGGGGAAGAGAGGAGGUACCAAGGCCUCAAAGAAGUGAGGUAGGAGGGUGAUCAAAACUAAAAAGAAAAGACGAGAAAAAGCUUUCAAGAAUAUCAGACAUUUCCUAUAGGGAAUUAUUUGCAAUCAUCAACUCACCCUGUCUGUCCCUAGGUGAUAGUGCAAGUAAGUUUGUGUUUGUUUUAUUUGGUCAAACUCCUUGAUCCUGCUGAGACAAACACUAUGGUGGGUACUAGGGAAGCAAAGAUGCUUGACAAUGCCCUGCCCUCAAGCUGCUCCCAGAUAAGCAGGAGAGACAGACAAGAUUACAGAAAAUCGUCACACCAGGUGGCAAGUGCCACUGUAGAGAGAAAUCAGGGGACUGUUGGAGUGCAACCAGAGAAGGCUUCCUGGAGCAGUCGUAAAACUCACCUGACUGAGUUUUGAGAAAUGACUUAAUCAGACAAGGUUUAGGAAGUGAGAAGCAGCAAAGAUAAUUAACUGGAGCCUUAGUGUGAAGUGCCAGCAAGAAAGCAGAGAGGUUGGCAGGAUUCUAAUGCAGCCAAAGAUCUUUUAACUAUAAAAUUAUACUAAAAAUGUAGAUGCAAAAAUAUGCCUUUUAGAACAAAAGAUAAGGAGUGUCAAUGAGAAAGAAAUGAUCAAACCUCCAAGUGUAUUCACUGGAAAAUUGACCUCAAGGAUGAAAACCUCUUCAGACAGAGAGAUCACUGUUGCAUGCUAUGAGGGCCAAGUCAUGACUGAAUCUGCUAAAGUAAAUUGUAAUUAGAUUUGGGGCAUUAAAGUGGAACCCAAAAUAAUAAAAUUAGGCUGGAACACUAGAAUGUCAGCUCAAAACGGCCGGGCACGGUGGCUCACGCCUGUAAUCCCAGCACUCUGGGAGGCCGAGGCAGGCUGAUCAUGAGGUCAGGAGAUCGAGACCAUCCUGGCUAGCAUGGUGAAACCCCAUCUCUACUAAAAAUACAAAAAAUUAGUCAGGCGUGGUGACAGGCACCUGUGGUCCCAGCUGCUCGGGAGGCUGAGGCAGGAGAAUGGCGUGAACCCGGGAGGCGGAGGUUGCAGUGAGCCGAGAUCGUGCCACUGCACUCCAGCCUGGGCGACAGAGCGAGACUCCGUCUCUAAAAAAAAUAAAAAUAAAAAAGAAUGUAAGCUCAAGAAAACUGGAAUUUUUGUCUGUUCUGUUCAUCACAGUUUCCCCAGAGCCCAGAACAGAGCCUGGCCCAUAGCAGGCAUGUCAUACGUAUUUGUUGAAUGAAUGGUACAUGAAAAUAUAUAGCACACUCCCCAUAACCUUGCCACUCACUUCUCUGAUGUUGAGACAUGAUAUCACCAGCCUCGUUGAUAUGCCAUCAAAUAGUAAUUCCCACUCACCAGCAUCACAACCUAUUGCCACAUCCCAGGGCAUUGUUGAUUGCUUUCACUUACAAUAAUACCCUCACUGUCUUUGGGCCUGUGGCACACUCUCCCCAGGCCCUGGCAACCUUUUACUUAGACUGCUGUAGGUCUCUUGGGAAGCAGGUGCUUGAGGGCUGUCCCCUCACAUUGGAACUGUAAAUGAAUUCUCUAACUGGCAUCAGACUUUCUACUCACUAUUUAAUAGUCUUCAUUCUCUACUUUCAAAAUCCUGGCACCUGCACCUCACUUGACCCUCCUUCCUGUCCCACCUAUGGCUUCUCUUCUCCCUCAAGCCUUCUCUCACGCACUGCUCUAGGGCUGAAUAGAAAUUCAAGCUCCCAGCUGGGCACAAUGGCUCACGCCUGUAAUCCCAGCACUUUGGGAGGCCGAGGCAGGUGGAUCCCCUGAGGUCAGGAGUUCAAGACCAGCCUGGCAAACAUGGCGAAACCCUCUCUUUCUAAAAAUGUAAAAAUUAGCAGGGCGUGGUGGCACACGCCUGUAAUCCCAGCUACUCAGGAGGCUGAGGCAGGAGAAUCGCUUGAACCCAGGGGUGGAGGUUGCAGUGAGCCGAGAUCGCACCACUUCACUCCAGCCUGGGUGAAAGAGCAAAACUCCAUCUCAAAAAAAAAAAAAAAGAAAAAGAAAGAAAUUCAGCCUUCCUCCUUUCCUAUUCCACCAGUCCCUGAGAUUCUACCUCCUCCACGAGAUCUCGCCUGACAAUUUAGAAGAGGAACAGUGGGUUUUGUUCGUACAUAAUCACCUCAUGUCCCUGGCACCAAUACUCAUGAAUAGUCCAGAACCAAUUUAACUUCGACAUACAAGAGGUCUCCCAGCUUUAAGUGCUAGUUAUGUUUCUGAAGAGUUGUGGGCAUGUAGCAUUUUUGAAAUCCAAAUUAUUCAAGGCCACCCU